GAGUUUGAUCCUGGCUCAGAUUGAACGCUGGCGGCAGGCUUAACACAUGCAAGUCGAGCGGGGGAAGGUAGCUUGCUACUGGACCUAGCGGCGGACGGGUGAGUAAUGCUUAGGAAUCUGCCUAUUAGUGGGGGACAACAUUCCGAAAGGAAUGCUAAUACCGCAUACGUCCUACGGGAGAAAGCAGGGGACCUUCGGGCCUUGCGCUAAUAGAUGAGCCUAAGUCGGAUUAGCUAGUUGGUGGGGUAAAGGCCUACCAAGGCGACGAUCUGUAGCGGGUCUGAGAGGAUGAUCCGCCACACUGGGACUGAGACACGGCCCAGACUCCUACGGGAGGCAGCAGUGGGGAAUAUUGGACAAUGGGGGGAACCCUGAUCCAGCCAUGCCGCGUGUGUGAAGAAGGCCUUAUGGUUGUAAAGCACUUUAAGCGAGGAGGAGGCUACUAGUAUUAAUACUACUGGAUAGUGGACGUUACUCGCAGAAUAAGCACCGGCUAACUCUGUGCCAGCAGCCGCGGUAAUACAGAGGGUGCGAGCGUUAAUCGGAUUUACUGGGCGUAAAGCGUGCGUAGGCGGCCAUUUAAGUCAAAUGUGAAAUCCCCGAGCUUAACUUGGGAAUUGCAUUCGAUACUGGAUGGCUA
This 640-nucleotide ribosomal RNA is filed under the name uncultured Gammaproteobacteria bacterium. RNAcentral's name for it is "bacterial SSU rRNA". It matches the Rfam family "Bacterial small subunit ribosomal RNA", at positions 9 to 643 of the family's 1533-position model. The record is from RNAcentral. Lineage: Bacteria; Pseudomonadati; Pseudomonadota; Gammaproteobacteria.